GACGAACGCUGGCGGCGUGCUUAACACAUGCAAGUCAUGGGGACCCGCAAGGGUAACCGGCGAACGGGUGCGUAACACGUGAGCAAUCUGCCUAAGACGUGGGGGAUAGCCGGCCCAACGGCCGGGUAAUACCGCAUACGCUCUCCUGGUGGCAUCACCGGGUGAGGAAACCCUUCGGGGGCAUCUAGAGGAGCUCGCGGCCUAUCAGCUAGUUGGUGAGGUAAUGGCUCACCAAGGCUUUGACGGGUAGCUGGUCUGAGAGGAUGGCCAGCCACAUUGGGACUGAGAUACGGCCCAGACUCCUACGGGAGGCAGCAGUGGGGAAUAUUGCGCAAUGGCCGAAAGGCUGACGCAGCGACGCCGCGUGGGGAUGAAGCAUUUCGGUGUGUAAACCCCUGUUGCUCGGGACGAACAACCUCUUUAAAGAGGUCUGACGGUACCGGGUGAGGAAGCACCGGCUAACUCUGUGCCA
This 472-nucleotide ribosomal RNA is filed under the name uncultured bacterium. RNAcentral describes it as "bacterial SSU rRNA". It matches the Rfam family "Bacterial small subunit ribosomal RNA", at positions 28 to 510 of the family's 1533-position model. The record is from RNAcentral.